GUUCCGUAGGUGAACCUGCGGAAGGAUCAUUAUUGUAUAACCGAGGUGCAAGGGCUGUCGCUGACCCGAAAGGUCGUGCACGCCCGAGUGCCCUCACACACAUCCAUCUCACCCCUAUGUGCACCACCGCGUGGGUCCCCCUUUGGCUUGUUCGGAGGGGGGCUUACGUUUUCACACAAACUUUGUAUGCAGUGUAGAAUGUAUUUUUUGUUUUUGCGAUCACGCAAUCAAUACAACUUUCAACAACGGAUCUCUUGGCUCUC
RNAcentral lists this unclassified non-coding RNA (263 nucleotides) under plant metagenome. RNAcentral describes it as "partial contains small subunit ribosomal RNA, internal transcribed spacer 1, and 5.8S ribosomal RNA". The record is from RNAcentral.